AACGCACCUUGCGCUCCUUGGUAUUCCGAGGAGCAUGCCUGUUUGAGUGUCAUGAAAUUCUCAACCCUCCUCACUUUUGUGUGAAGGGCUUGGACUUGGGGGAUUGUUACUGCUGGUCUCUUCUGAUCGGCUCCCCUUGAAUGCAUUAGCCCGGGACCUUUGCCUCCCAGCCAGUUUCACGGUGUGAUAGUCUAUCAACGCCGGUGUUAAUUGGUGUUCAGGUGUGGCAAGACAGCGGUCCGGCUCUCUAACGGACUUUUGAAGUCAACUCUUACCCAAUCUGACCUCAAAUCAGGUAGGACUACCCGCUGAACUUAA
RNAcentral lists this unclassified non-coding RNA (318 nucleotides) under uncultured fungus. RNAcentral's name for it is "partial contains 5.8S ribosomal RNA, internal transcribed spacer 2, and large subunit ribosomal RNA". The stretch from base 1 to 52 matches the Rfam family "5.8S ribosomal RNA", at positions 103 to 154 of the family's 154-position model. The record is from RNAcentral. Lineage: Eukaryota; Fungi.